RNAcentral lists this long non-coding RNA (5285 nucleotides) under Bemisia tabaci. RNAcentral's name for it is "lncRNA ENSSSA1NGG010772". Lineage: Eukaryota; Metazoa; Arthropoda; Insecta; Hemiptera; Aleyrodidae. The record is from RNAcentral.
GUUACCUUGGAUACCGCCGCUACGUCGGUUUUCGCGCCGGCCGGACCUGAAAUCCCACGCAAUGUGAAAAAUGACUUGAAUUUCCGUUGACUACCAACACCUUUCGGGAUUUUCGGAAUUUUCUUCAAAAUUUACAAGUGAAAGCCGAGAGUGCAAUUAAAAAAACCCCUCAAAAUUAAUCUUAGUACCCAAAUUUUCCACGAUUCAAAGUGUUUCUGACAGAUGAGUGAUCGAGUGCCAAGGUUAGUUUCUGCACAAGUUCGGAAAGUCGGAAACUUUGGAAGUAUCAUAAUCUGAGGGAGCGCCACAAAUGGUGAACAACCGACCCCCGCAAUAGAAUGCCCUCGAUGAAUCAGUCGCAGAGUUGCAAGCAGUGCAAAGAACCCCCGCAGUGCCAGCAGAAGUGCCAGCAACAGCCCCAACCGCGGUGCAUACAGUCCCAGCCCAAGUGCCAGAAACCUCCUCAACCGCGGUGUAUACAGUCCCAGCCCGCGUGUCAAAAACAAUCUCAUCCGCGGUGUAUUCAGGCCCAGCCCAAGUGUCAAAAGCAACCUAAGUGCCAGCAGUCUCAGAUAAAGUGUCAGCUGCCCCAGCCGAAGUGCCAGCAGUCCCAGCCAAAGUGCCAGCAGUCCCAGCCGCGGUGCGAGAAGGAUGCUGACGACGCUGCCGCGUGCUGCCCGAGCAAGGGAUCGGCCCGAGGGUGCCCGGCCUCGUUCGGCCACGAGCGAGGGCGGAAGUGCGGAGCGGCGCCCUGCAGGGCGAGGACGGGCGCCUGCGGCGCCCGCAGCCCCUGCUGUCCGUCCCCGGCCCGACCCUCCUCCCUGCGGGUCAACAGGGCCGCUCAGCUCUGCCUCCCCGGGGGCAGAUCCCGGCUCUGCCUCACAAGACCCACCUGCAACCGGGUAACUGGACAAGACGGUUGUAACCUGAUUCCCCGAUACAUGAAGCUGUUCGGCAAAACGAAAAGGUCAAUAAUGAAGAGGAGAGGUAGCAACUGUAGCUUGUGUUACGAUUGUCCCCACCUUGAGACAUUGACAUCUGGUGGUCAAUGUGGUUGUGGUUGUGGAAAUACCGAUGAUCUCUGGGCUGUUCAGUCUUCUGAAAAUAUUCUUCCAGCUGGUCACGGUGGCCACAGAGAUCAAAGUGGUCAUAGAGGUCAAGGUGGUCAUGGUGGUCAUGGUGGUCAUGGUGGUCAUGGUGGUCAAGGUGGUCAUGGUGGUCAUGGUGGUCAUGGUGGUCACGGUGGUCAUGGUGGUCAAAGUGGUCAUAAUGGUCAAACAGAUCAUAGUGGUUGUCGAUGUGGAAAUGCCGAUGAUUUAUGGGCGGUCGAGUCUCGCGAAAAUAUCAGCGCCGGUAGCCCCGGGAAGGCAACCAAUCGAAGCACCGGAAUGUUGGAAAUUGUUUCGCAGAUACUGGACGGCGUGCCUGCAGAACUUUUGUUCCUCGGGCUGAUGAAAGCAAAAGCUAGGCAUCUUAAAGGAAGAAAUCCAUGUGAAAAUCUUUAAGUAGCAGUGUCGGUUGCUGUGUUACUUCCUUAAAAAGAUGGAUGAAUGAGCGCCGGGCGAACCAAGGAGUCUGCAAUGGGCCGAGCAGGGACCAGUUAUUCCGUUGCUGUCCCAAACCUCGACUCAAGCCCCCUCCCUCUCCGAUUUCCUGCGAUGCACUUUGCUGCAACCCCUGCAAGUGCAACUCCCAGACGAGGGGCAAGAAGAAAAAGUGCCGCCAAGUGCCAUCGUGUUUCGACUGCGCCUGCAACUCCACGAAUAGAUGACCCGCCGAUAAGACAUUCAAAUUUCACUGAAAAAGCUAUUAAGACGACGAGAAGUUCGAAAAUCGACUUUUGAGGAAGAUAUAAAUCAUUGUUUCGAUGAAGAUCGUUGUUAAAUAGCAAAAAUACCAAUACUAUGAGCACCAGUUGGACUACAUUUUACAGUGAGUCAGUUGCGCUGGUCAUAGAAUUGUGUCUUGAUGCUUGAUUCUUGUAGAUCAGCUGAAAGAAACAAGAUUUUUCCAAACAGCAUCUUUCCUGGUUCAAUAUUUACCGAGGUACAGCGAUUUGAAAAAUUCGGUUUAUGACGUCAUCCACCGCGGUAGUGAUAUCCUCAGUUUUCUCAGUGGCGUGGCGUGCUUUGCGAUAUAUCAAUUGUUCUGCCAUUUAACUUAUCGUAAAGAAUCGAUUAUUAAGGUGUUCGCUGCGAACACCCUGAUUAUCGAUUCUUUUCCAUACGUUUAAAUGGCAUAACAAUCGAUAUAUCGCAAAGCACGCCACGCCACUGAGUUUUCUCCACCUUGCUUUCAUGCAGGUUUCACGUUGAGUAACCAGUGAAAAUUCAUGUCCCCCUGACCAAUGAAAGCAAUGCAGAACAAACUAAUGGUGUCGCUACCGCCGUGGAUGACGUCAUUAAACGAUUUUUUAAAGCGCGCUAUCUUCGUUAAUAUUGAACAUGGAGAGUCGCUAUUUAGACAGAUCUUGUUACUUUUAGCUAAUCCACAAGAAUCAAGCAUCGAAACACAAUAAUUCUGUGACCAGCACAACUCAUACGGUAAGAACCGCAAUCUCUGGCUCAAUCUAGAAACAACGUAUGUAUCAUUAGUUUUUCGGUUUACAUACGUGUUUUUAUGGAUGAGUCCGGGAUUUAAGCUCUAAUUGCAAAAUGAAGUCAAUUCGAUCACUGAUGUGAGGACGUGGACUGCCGUGUUAAGGAGAACUGCCCUAUGAGCUUUUAGGCGUUGCCAAAUUUCUUUUGAUAAAUCAAGGAUUUUUUGUGAUGUCAUGAAUUUUUUUCUUCCAAUUUUUCAGUUUAUUUUGUUCGUGAUUUCACUUAAAGUUCCUGAAAAAAUUGAGAAACUAAUAUGCAUGACUUUCCUAAAAAUAAAUAUUUCAUCGAGGGAAAUUUAGCAACUCUGAAAUGUGCAUACGGCGUCCUUCCUCAUUACGGCAGUAUAAAUGUAACGAGUGAUAUCCUGCUGACGAGUUGAUCUCCGAACUCCUCGUUGCGUGAUGCACAGAAUUUGUAAGGAUCAUUGGCGGAUCCAGCAAAUUGGCAACAUUGGUUUUCUCCAUUUCAACCUAUGGAACUUUAUUGAUUUUUGGAGGGGCCAGGUGCUGCAACAAGAAUCGAUUAUUGAACGUAGGUUUAAAUGGAGGAAAUCCGGUGUUGCCAAAUUGCUGGAUCCGCUUCUAUUAAGGGAAGGCAUGAAAGGUGUUUCUGUAAAUAUUGUCUGGUAGCACUAUCUCAUCACUUGUACUGUCACAAACAGCACCCUCCCCCCUCCCCAAGCAAAAAUGCAGGACGACAUGAAAAGCCCCCCCCCCCAAAAGGCAGACCUCAUUGUCAGAAAUUAUCGUUGACAAUCCUCAGAAUUCACACAGGUUUGCUGCACGUAGGGACUCUCCCAAUUUAGGAUCCUUUUUGAUAUGAAGACUUCCAAGCCAAAGUUUAUGGCAAUCAAACCACUAAAAACAGUGCCCAUGACCACUCCCUAAAUCCGUAUCAUAGAUAAAAGUAGAGCUCUCAAAGUGGCGUCACGCGGGGUCACGUGACACUCACAAUCAGUGCGACCUUCAAAGAUUGUCGGGCCGAUGAUCUUUAGGUAGUGUCAUAGAUCAAAUCGUGCUAUCAACAUAUUAAGGUCAGGCGUUGUGAUUAGCUUAUUCAAUGAGUUGCGCGAAAAACAGAUUUUGACCUUGAUCUAUUGACAACACCGUUUGAUCGUGUGACAAUAAUUUCUGAGGGUCACGUGACUUCACUUAGAGAGCUCUGCUUGGAUCUACCAUACGGGCUCUAAAAAAGCGAGUACUUUAAAAAUAGGUCAGUUGAGACAGCCACAGAAUCGUGCUUUGAUGAUUUUAGAUUAUGGAUCAGCAAUAAAUUACAGAGACACGUCCAAAAACUGAGUUUAAAAUCAAAUGUUAACGGAUACAUCGGAACAGCGAAUGACAUCAUCCACCGCGGAGGUGGUUACCAUUGGUUCUUCCACCCUCAUCUGUUUUUAAGUCGUGUUUAAUUCUUGCAAAUCUCUGCUUGGCUGACAAGGGUGUAAAUACACUCAGAGAUGAGCCCGGGAAAGCAUUGGUUUAGAUGUGCGACAGGGUUCAUUGCCCAGUGUAGUUGCGUCCUUAUGUCAGGGAGGCGACGAAUUUUGUCAUCACUAAUUUAUUAAUCCACGGUGGAAGAAACUAUGGCAUGUACUACCGCGGUAGAUGCUUUCAUAAACCGUGUUUUUCUAAGGGAAAUCCUUCCGUUAGUAUUGGACGUAAGAACUAGGCGUUUGGUCAGACCUUAAUAUAUUUUUUUUUUUUUGUUAAUCUAUGUGCUCACACCAUCAAAAUGUCAUUCUGUGACCAUUCAACACUGACUCAUUGCUUUGACUGUUGUAAUUGUUUCUAAGAUUUCUUUCUACGAUUGGCUGCCAUUCGCCGAACUGAAGUUCAAAAAUAUUCACAAGUCAAGAAUAUCAAGAGGUGCAUCUCAAAAGAAAAUCACGAGCACUACACAGUUUCAUUUUCAAAUUUUAAUUAAGAAAAAAAAAAUUGGUUCAUAUCAUGUGUUUGUUCGCGAGCUAUAAUUAAUUUUCUUCCAUUUCCUUUGAGCCGCUUGAAGUUGUUAAGACAUUAUUGAAGCCAAAAUGAAUAACAUUAAAUCUCCUUCUUUUAUUCAUUUCUCAGAAGUCAAUCUUUUUUUAAUUAGGUAUUCAUCUCCCCAGGCAAAGGUUAUAUUGUUUUAAUGUUUUCAAAAGAACAUUCUAGAAGAAAUUUCAAUUCUUUUCAUUGGCAUCUUUCCUCUUUGGGGAAAAAAAGGCGCUGACGAAAAUACCUUUCUUGGAGAGUCCCUACGUUUUGAACCCCCUUUGGUUUGUUUUGUCGUUUAUUUAUUGAUAUUAUUUAUUUCCUCCCACAUCAUGUAUUGAUUUACUGGUUCAACAAUUACAUACGUCCCGUGAAAAUGUCCCUCAUUUUAAUUUGAAUGUGUGUCACUAGUAUUUGCCUUUUGAGAUUCCGCCUCUCUGCUAAAAUAGGUCUGAAACAGCAACUGAUCAGAAUUUCCGUAGGUUGAAUCGCACAAUUAAAAGUUAAGCGCAGGAAAAAAGUCGAAAAACCCUUCCUUCAAUGCACAGUUUUAGUCGUCUGUACAACGAAUCAUUAAAUUUACUGGAUCCAGGAUCUGACUUUUCUAAGUCGCUAGCAAUCAGAUUUGUAUUCAAGGUUGUGUGGAGACCGCAUGAGCCUCAAUUAGCUGUACUUCAUGUCGUUGUUCCUCUGACGUAAGGAAAAGUAUCUCAUU